Molecule: long non-coding RNA, 857 nt
Organism: Ornithorhynchus anatinus (platypus)
Lineage: Eukaryota; Metazoa; Chordata; Mammalia; Monotremata; Ornithorhynchidae
Exons: 2
Source: RefSeq, a predicted model, not a curated record
AGCCUCAGCGGUAGCCUUGUUCCCGAGCCUGAUGUGAGCGUUGGCCGUUGUCGUCCCUGUCAGGUUCUACGUUUCCGUGGCAGCUGGAACUUCCCUGAGAUUUCGCGUCUGUGAAACGCUCCAGCGGAGGAAACAAGCGGAGAGAGGGCUUCCACAGUCGCGGGGACCUGAUGAGCCGACCAGAGCGGGGUCACCUGCCCCGACCCGGGGGACCAACAGAGCCCUCAGGCAGGUGCGGACGCUGGGGCCGACGAGGGAGCGUGAGUUGAGGAUGAGGCUUCUAUUAUCUCCGUCGGGCCAAAAGCAACGGAGAAGCGUUUCCACUGGAACGCUAUCCGCUUAGUCAUCUCGAAUAACUUUAAGCAUUUCAUCACCGUUCCUGGCCGCAAACAUGAAUCCCUUCAAGGGAGUCGAGGUCUGUUUUCUCCCUUAAAGCCCUCAGAGUAUUCUGCUUCUAUUUCCCGUAUGGAAUAUGGAUGUAUUAAAUGCAAAAAAGUCCAUAAAUUGAACAUUAUGGUUGAGGAAUGAGCUCCACGGAUGCCAGGAAAUUCAAAAAUUGUACUCCAGAUCGUGGCCCAGGAAGCUAAGGAAGAGAUGUAUCGGAUGACCUUAUAUCAGGUAGUGGUCCAAGAAUCUGACAGUAGGUGUUGAAGGCUGGGAAGAAUUGCGAUAAACUCAUCCAAAGGUCCUAGAAGAAGGAAUUUCCUUGACUAAUAGGCAACUAGGGACUCAGAUUCCCCCACUCCAACAAAUUCUUUCCUCUGCUUCCUGUCAUCGCACUUCACCCUCCAUUCUAUACAUUGUUUUUUCCUUGGCUGCAAUAUGAGCUCAAUAAAAAUGUGCCAUUAUCCCUUUUA